GUCUAUGGCCAUGCUACCCUAAACAACCGCUAUCCCAUCUGAUCUCGGAAACUAAGCAGGGUCGGGCCUGGUUAGUACUUGAAUGGGAGACCACCUAGGAAGACCAGGUGCUGUAGGUG
This 119-nucleotide ribosomal RNA is filed under the name Pteropus alecto (black flying fox). The record is from RNAcentral. Lineage: Eukaryota; Metazoa; Chordata; Mammalia; Chiroptera; Pteropodidae.